RNAcentral lists this long non-coding RNA (235 nucleotides) under Erythranthe guttata (spotted monkey flower). RNAcentral's name for it is "long non-coding RNA (EGUT_LNC002089)". The record is from RNAcentral. Lineage: Eukaryota; Viridiplantae; Streptophyta; Magnoliopsida; Lamiales; Phrymaceae.
UCCCCAUUUUCUAGAUAAUCAAGCCAUCGCUUUUUAUUUCACUUUUCCGGUACCGGAUUCUCCUCGGAGAAUUAUAUUCAUACAAAUGGGGAUUGUAGCCUUCGUGGGUACGAUCUCUUCUAGAGAUCUAUAUUUUUCAUGUACCAUGUAUUUUUCUCUUGUAGAGAAUUUUAUAUCUUGCACCAAUAAAGUUUUCAUAAUACUUUAUGUGCUUGAGCUCAUUAUUUCUUUCACU